Molecule: ribosomal RNA, 604 nt
Filed under: uncultured bacterium
Lineage: Bacteria
Description: bacterial SSU rRNA
Rfam family: Bacterial small subunit ribosomal RNA
Source: RNAcentral
GAGUUUGAUCCUGGCUCAGGAUAAACGCUGGCGGCGCACAUAAGACAUGCAAGUCGAACGGACUUAAUUCAUUCUUUUAGAUUGGAAGCGGUUAGUGGCGGACUGGUGAGUAACGCGUGAGCAACCUGCCUAUUAGAGGGGAAUAACAGUGAGAAAUCAUUGCUAAUACCGCAUAUGCUUACACUAUUGCAUGAUAGAGUAAGGAAAGGAGCAAUCCGCUAAUAGAUGGGCUCGCGUCUGAUUAGCUAGUUGGUGGGGUAGAAGCCUACCAAGGCGACGAUCAGUAGCCGGACUGAGAGGUUGAACGGCCACAUUGGGACUGAGAUACGGCCCAGACUCCUACGGGAGGCAGCAGUCGGGAAUAUUGCGCAAUGGAGGGAACUCUGACGCAGUGACGCCGCGUAUAGGAAGAAGGUUUUCGGAUUGUAAACUAUUGUCGUUAGGGAAGAAAAAAGACAGUACCUAAGGAGGAAGCCCCGGCUAACUAUGUGCCAGCAGCCGCGGUAAUACAUAGGGGGCAAGCGUUAUCCGGAAUUAUUGGGUGUAAAGGGUGCGUAGACGGGUGUUUAAGUUGGUUGUGAAAUCCCUCGGCUCAACUGAGGAA